AGCGAACGCUGGCGGCAGGCCUAACACAUGCAAGUCGAACGAACUCUUCGGAGCUAGUGGCGGACGGGUGAGUAACACGUGGGAACGUGCCUUUAGGUUCGGAAUAACUCAGGGAAACUUGUGCUAAUACCGAAUAUGCCCUUCGGGGGAAAGAUUUAUCGCCUUUAGAGCGGCCCGCGUCUGAUUAGCUAGUUGGUGAGGUAAAGGCUCACCAAGGCGACGAUCAGUAGCUGGUCUGAGAGGAUGAUCAGCCACAUUGGGACUGAGACACGGCCCAAACUCCUACGGGAGGCAGCAGUGGGGAAUCUUGCGCAAUGGGCGAAAGCCUGACGCAGCCAUGCCGCGUGAAUGAUGAAGGUCUUAGGAUUGUAAAAUUCUUUCACCGGGGACGAUAAUGACGGUACCCGGAGAAGAAGCCCCGGCUAACUUCGUG
RNAcentral lists this ribosomal RNA (433 nucleotides) under uncultured bacterium. Its description in RNAcentral is "partial 16S ribosomal RNA". It matches the Rfam family "Bacterial small subunit ribosomal RNA", at positions 29 to 507 of the family's 1533-position model. The record is from RNAcentral.